This 1497-nucleotide long non-coding RNA is filed under the name Monodelphis domestica (gray short-tailed opossum). RNAcentral's name for it is "lncRNA (ENSMODG00000039627.1)". Lineage: Eukaryota; Metazoa; Chordata; Mammalia; Didelphimorphia; Didelphidae. The record is from RNAcentral.
AGAGAACAGCUGGGGAAGCCCUCGGAGCUCCAGACAAGGCUCCUUGGUGGAGAGAGAAGCUGGGGAAGCCCUCGGAGCUCCAGACAAGGCUCCUUGGUAGAGAGAGAAGCUGGGGAAGCCCUCGGAGCUCCAGACAAGGCUCCUUGGUGUAGAGUACAGCUGGGGAAGCCCUCGGAGCUCCAGACAAGGCUCCUUGGUGAAGAGAACAGCUGGGGAAGCCCUCGGAGCUCCAGACAAGGCUCCUUGGUGAAGAGAACAGCUGGGGAAGCCCUCGGAGCUCCAGACAAGGCUCCUUGGUGGAGAAAACAGUUGGGGAAGCCCUCGGAGCUCCAGACAAGGCUCCUUGGUGUAGAGAGCAGCUGGGGAAGCCCUCGGAGCUCCAGACAAGGCUCCUUGGUGGAGAGAGAAGCUGGGGAAGCCCUCGGAGCUCCAGACAAGGCUCCUUGGUGGAGAAAACAGUUGGGGAAGCCCUCGGAGCUCCAGACAAGGCUCCUUGGUGUAGAAAACAGUUGGGGAAGCCCUCGGAGCUCCAGAGACAAGGCUCCUUGGUGGAGAGAGAAGCUGGGGAAGCCUUCGGAGCUCCAGAGACAAGGCUCCUUGGUGGAGAGAACAGCUGGGGAAGCCCUCGGAGCUCCAGACAAGGCUCCUUGGUGUAGAGAGCAGCUGGGGAAGCCCUCAGAGCUCCAGACAAGGCUCCUUGGUGUAGAGAGCAGCUGGGGAAGCCCUCAGCGCUCCAGACAAGGCUCCGUGGUGGAGAGAACAGCUGGGGAAGCCCUCGGAGCUCCAGAGACAAGGCUCCUUGGUGGAGAGAACAGCUGGGGAAGCCCUCGGAGCUCCAGAGACAAGGCUCCUUGGUGUAGAGAACAGCUGGGGAAGCCCUCAGAGCUCCAGACAAGGCUCCUUGGUGGAGAAAACAGUUGGGGAAGCCCUCGGAGCUCCAGACAAGGCUCCUUGGUGGAGAAAACAGCUGGGGAAGCCCUCGGAGCUCCAGAGACAAGGCUCCUUGGUGGAGAGAACAGCUGGGGAAGCCCUCGGAGCUCCAGAGACAAGGCUCCUUGGUGGAGAGAACAGCUGGGGAAGCCCUCGGAGCUCCAGAGACAAGGCUCCUUGGUGGAGAGAACAGCUGGGGAAGCCCUCGGAGCUCCAGAGACAAGGCUCCUUGGUGGAGAGAGAAGCUGGGGAAGCCCUCGGAGCUCCAGAGACAAGGCUCCUUGGUGGAGAGAGAAGCUGGGGAAGCCCUCGGAGCUCCAGAGAAGGCUCCUUGGUGAAGAGAACAGCUGGGGAAGCCCUCGGAGCUCCAGACAAGGCUCCUUGGUGGAGAGAGAAGCUGGGGAAGCCCUCGGAGCUCCAGACAAGGCUCCUUGGUGGAGAAAACAGUUGGGGAAGCCCUCGGAGCUCCAGACAAGGCUCCUUGGAGAGAGCAGCUGGGGAAGCCCUCAGAGCUCCAGAGACAAGGCUACUUGGUGGAGAGAGAAACUGGGAUGCUGGCCCGUGUGA